RNAcentral lists this long non-coding RNA (347 nucleotides) under Coturnix japonica (Japanese quail). RNAcentral's name for it is "lncRNA (ENSCJPG00005009136.1)". Lineage: Eukaryota; Metazoa; Chordata; Aves; Galliformes; Phasianidae. The record is from RNAcentral.
AGAUCACAUAGAUGAUCAGAAAUACUCUUGUUAUGCUUACAGCUGACUGAAGAAAUGAAGAGAUUACCUCUGCAGUUAGUUCUCGCCAUAGUAGUAGACAUUUGGUGGAUCCUAAGGAACAAACUGGUUUCAAAGUCAACUGAUCUUUUGAGUCUCAGUCACGGCCAAUGAGAAUUGGGAGGAAACAAAACCACGCAAAGAAGAGAUAUCCCUUUCUGACAAAAGAGCCUCUCACAACAAACAGAUCCUGUUUCGGAGCAGGAUUUUCAUUUUCCUGUAUCGAACAAUAUAACACUGAUCUGAACCCUUCUGCCAAAUGGUCCAGCUUGCUCCCUCCAGCUUUUUGA